This 465-nucleotide ribosomal RNA is filed under the name Vreelandella stevensii. Its description in RNAcentral is "partial 16S ribosomal RNA". It matches the Rfam family "Bacterial small subunit ribosomal RNA", at positions 338 to 795 of the family's 1533-position model. Lineage: Bacteria; Pseudomonadati; Pseudomonadota; Gammaproteobacteria; Oceanospirillales; Halomonadaceae. The record is from RNAcentral.
CCUACGGGAGGCAGCAGUGGGGAAUAUUGGACAAUGGGGGGAACCCUGAUCCAGCCAUGCCGCGUGUGUGAAGAAGGCCCUCGGGUUGUAAAGCACUUUCAGUGAGGAAGAACGCCUGGUGGUUAAUACCCAUCAGGAAAGACAUCACUCACAGAAGAAGCACCGGCUAACUCCGUGCCAGCAGCCGCGGUAAUACGGAGGGUGCGAGCGUUAAUCGGAAUUACUGGGCGUAAAGCGCGCGUAGGUGGCUUGAUAAGCCGGUUGUGAAAGCCCCGGGCUCAACCUGGGAACGGCAUCCGGAACUGUCAAGCUAGAGUGCAGGAGAGGAAGGUAGAAUUCCAGGUGUAGCGGUGAAAUGCGUAGAGAUCGGGAGGAAUACCAGUGGCGAAGGCGGCCUUCUGGACUGACACUGACACUGAGGUGCGAAAGCGUGGGUAGCAAACAGGAUUAGAUACCCCUGUAGUC